RNAcentral lists this ribosomal RNA (449 nucleotides) under uncultured bacterium. RNAcentral's name for it is "partial 16S ribosomal RNA". It matches the Rfam family "Bacterial small subunit ribosomal RNA", at positions 29 to 523 of the family's 1533-position model. The record is from RNAcentral.
AGCGAACGCUGGCGGCAAGCUUAACACAUGCAAGUCGAACGAUGUAGCAAUACAUAGUGGCGGACGGGUGCAUAACACGUGGGAAUCUGCCCUUCAGUACGGAAUAACUCAGGGAAACUUGAGCUAAUACCGUAUAAUAUCUCCGGAUCAAAGAUUUAUCGCUGAAGGAUGAGCCCGCGGCAGAUUAGCUAGUUGGUGGGGUAAUGGCCUACCAAGGCAACGAUCUGUAGCUGGUCUUAGAGGAUGAUCAGCCACACUGGGACUGAGACACGGCCCAGACUCCUAUGGGAGGCAGCAGUGGGGAAUAUUGGACAAUGGGCGAAAGCCUGAUCCAGCUAUGCCGCGUGAGUGAUGAAGGCCUUAGGGUUGUAAAGCUCUUUUAGAUGGGAAGAUAAUGACGGUACCAUCAGAAAAAGCCCCGGCUAACUUCGUGCCAGCAGCCGCAGUAA